GAAGAAACGUUUUCUGCAUCCAGGAUUAGCCUAAAUCCUUUGGGAUAAGGUAUCAUGGAGGGUGAGAAUCCCGUUCAUGGUUAAUCUUAAGGAAGCUCUACGAUACGUUUUCCAAGAGUCGAGUUGUUUGGGACUGCAGCUCAAAAUGGGAGGUAAAUUUCUCCUAAGGCUAAAUAUUGGCGAGAGACCGAUAGCGAACAAGUACCGUGAGGGAAAGAUGA
Molecule: ribosomal RNA, 221 nt
Filed under: uncultured Glomus
Lineage: Eukaryota; Fungi; Glomeromycota; Glomeromycetes; Glomerales; Glomeraceae
Description: partial 28S large subunit ribosomal RNA
Rfam family: Eukaryotic large subunit ribosomal RNA
Source: RNAcentral